This 663-nucleotide long non-coding RNA is filed under the name Apteryx owenii (little spotted kiwi). RNAcentral's name for it is "lncRNA (ENSAOWG00000008387.1)". The record is from RNAcentral. Lineage: Eukaryota; Metazoa; Chordata; Aves; Apterygiformes; Apterygidae.
AUGAGCUCUACAGCAUCCACGGAUUGUGAGAAGAGUUCUGCACAGUGCGAGCAUGAGUCGACACGUUUCUCAAGAAAAGAAACGGCCCUUGUAACUGUCGGAGGACCUGUGUGCUGUACAAAUGAGAGUGUAAUAAGCUGUGAGUCCAGCCUUGGCCAUCGGUAAUGACAACGUCAAGCUGUUCUCCGGUACCUGCUUUCUGGGAUGGAGAAUUUAAGGAAGUGGAGCAAUACGCAAUGUCAUCUGGGGGACCAAGAGUGUGGUUUGAAGGGGACCUCACUGGGAAUGCAUAUGUUCAAACAUGCGGUCCAGGAUGUGAAGACUUGUUUCGAGCAGAACAGCUUCCUGUUGGAGGAAGCUUUUUGGAUCUGCUAGGCAGAAGUGGACUGUUUUUCUUGAGCCUUCUGAAUUCCAAACUUUCUGUGGAGUGUUUUGUGGGAAGCAUCUUGUUUCACCUCAUGUUAAAGCAGGGUCACCAGCUUUUGCCACUACCUAGACAGCAGUACCCAAGCUAACAACAUGCUGCAGGUUAUAUCAUGUCUUGCUCUCUCUGUUGGUCUUAAUUAUAUCCAUUUAAUGACUGUGAUCAUGAACAUUGCCGACAAUCUUGUGGACAAUAUAAGCCAUGGGUAUUGGCUAAAUAUAUCAUGAUUUUGAGAAGGU